GUCGAGCGGUAGCACAGAGAGCUUGCUCUCGGGUGACGAGCGGCGGACGGGUGAGUAAUGUCUGGGAAACUGCCUGAUGGAGGGGGAUAACUACUGGAAACGGUAGCUAAUACCGCAUAACGUCGCAAGACCAAAGUGGGGGACCUUCGGGCCUCAUGCCAUCAGAUGUGCCCAGAUGGGAUUAGCUAGUAGGUGGGGUAAUGGCUCACCUAGGCGACGAUCCCUAGCUGGUCUGAGAGGAUGACCAGCCACACUGGAACUGAGACACGGUCCAGACUCCUACGGGAGGCAGCAGUGGGGAAUAUUGCACAAUGGGCGCAAGCCUGAUGCAGCCAUGCCGCGUGUAUGAAGAAGGCCUUCGGGUUGUAAAGUACUUUCAGCGAGGAGGAAGGCAUCAAGGUUAAUAACCUUGGUGAUUGACGUUACUCGCAGAAGAAGCACCGGCUAACUCCGUGCCAGCAGCCGCGGUAAUACGGAGGGUGCAAGCGUUAAUCGGAAUUACUGGGCGUAAAGCGCACGCAGGCGGUCUGUCAAGUCGGAUGUGAAAUCCCCGGGCUCAACCUGGGAACUGCAUUCGAAACUGGCAGGCUAGAGUCUUGUAGAGGGGGGUAGAAUUCCAGGUGUAGCGGUGAAAUGCGUAGAGAUCUGGAGGAAUACCGGUGGCGAAGGCGGCCCCCUGGACAAAGACUGACGCUCAGGUGCGAAAGCGUGGGGAGCAAACAGGAUUAGAUACCCUGGUAGUCCACGCCGUAAACGAUGUCGACUUGGAGGUUGUGCCCUUGAGGCGUGGCUUCCGGAGCUAACGCGUUAAGUCGACCGCCUGGGGAGUACGGCCGCAAGGUUAAAACUCAAAUGAAUUGACGGGGGCCCGCACAAGCGGUGGAGCAUGUGGUUUAAUUCGAUGCAACGCGAAGAACCUUACCUACUCUUGACAUCCAGAGAACUUAGCAGAGAUGCUUUGGUGCCUUCGGGAACUCUGAGACAGGUGCUGCAUGGCUGUCGUCAGCUCGUGUUGUGAAAUGUUGGGUUAAGUCCCGCAACGAGCGCAACCCUUAUCCUUUGUUGCCAGCGGUCCGGCCGGGAACUCAAAGGAGACUGCCAGUGAUAAACUGGAGGAAGGUGGGGAUGACGUCAAGUCAUCAUGGCCCUUACGAGUAGGGCUACACACGUGCUACAAUGGCAUAUACAAAGAGAAGCGACCUCGCGAGAGCAAGCGGACCUCAUAAAGUAUGUCGUAGUCCGGAUUGGAGUCUGCAACUCGACUCCAUGAAGUCGGAAUCGCUAGUAAUCGUAGAUCAGAAUGCUACGGUGAAUACGUUCCCGGGCCUUGUACACACCGCCCGUCACACCAUGGGAGUGGGUUGCAAAAGAAGUAGGUAGCUUAACCUUCGGGAGGGCGCUUACCACUUUGUGAUUCAUGACUGGGGUGAAGUCGUAAACAAGGGUAA
RNAcentral lists this ribosomal RNA (1448 nucleotides) under Klebsiella aerogenes. Its description in RNAcentral is "bacterial SSU rRNA". It matches the Rfam family "Bacterial small subunit ribosomal RNA". The record is from RNAcentral. Lineage: Bacteria; Pseudomonadati; Pseudomonadota; Gammaproteobacteria; Enterobacterales; Enterobacteriaceae.